UAGCUCACCCGGUAGAGCAUGAGAUUCUUAAUCUCAGGGUCGUGGGUUUGUGCCCCAC
RNAcentral lists this transfer RNA (58 nucleotides) under Chlorocebus sabaeus (green monkey). It matches the Rfam family "tRNA", at positions 8 to 63 of the family's 71-position model. From Rfam's summary of the family: Transfer RNA (tRNA) molecules are approximately 80 nucleotides in length. Their secondary structure includes four short double-helical elements and three loops (D, anti-codon, and T loops). Further hydrogen bonds mediate the characteristic L-shaped molecular structure. tRNAs have two regions of fundamental functional importance: the anti-codon, which is responsible for specific mRNA codon recognition, and the 3' end, to which the tRNAs corresponding amino acid is attached (by aminoacyl-tRNA synthetases). tRNAs cope with the degeneracy of the genetic code in two manners: having more than one tRNA (with a specific anti-codon) for a particular amino acid; and 'wobble' base-pairing, i.e. permitting non-standard base-pairing at the 3rd anti-codon position. The record is from Rfam by way of RNAcentral. RNAcentral also lists the same sequence under 1 other name. Lineage: Eukaryota; Metazoa; Chordata; Mammalia; Primates; Cercopithecidae.